RNAcentral lists this small RNA (328 nucleotides) under Pongo abelii (Sumatran orangutan). Its description in RNAcentral is "Metazoan signal recognition particle RNA (ENSPPYG00000032455.1)". Lineage: Eukaryota; Metazoa; Chordata; Mammalia; Primates; Hominidae. The record is from RNAcentral.
GCCGGGCAUGGUGGCGUAUGCCUGUAAUCCCAGCUACUUGGGAGGCUGAGGCAGGAGAAUUGCUUGAACUCCAGAGGCGGAGGUUGCAGUGAGCUGAGAUCCUGCCAUUGCACUCCAGUCUGGGUGACAAGAGUGAAACUCCAUCUCCAAAAAUAAUAAUAAUAAAGUAAAUUUUUUAAUUAAAAAAAAAAAUUUUUUUAAUAUAUAUAUAUAUAUAUUUUUUUUUUUGAGACAGAGUCUCACUCUGUCAUCCAGGCUGGAGUGCAGUGGCAUCAUCUCAGCUCGCUGCAACCUCUGCCUCCCAGGUUCAAGCAAUUCUCUGCCUCAG